CUACGAGGGGUGCAAGCGUUAAUCGGAAUUACUGGGCGUAAAGCGUUCGUAGGCGGUUUGUUAAGCAAGAUGUGAAAGCCCUGGGCUCAACCUGGGAACUGCAUUUUGAACUGGCAAGCUAGAAUACUGUAGAGGGUGGUGGAAUUUCCAGUGUAGCGGUGAAAUGCGUAGAGAUUGGAAGGAACAUCAGUGGCGAAGGCGGCCACCUGGACAGAUACUGACGCUGAGGAACGAAAGCGUGGGGAGCGAACAGGAUUAGAAACCCCAGUAGUCC
Molecule: ribosomal RNA, 274 nt
Filed under: uncultured bacterium
Lineage: Bacteria
Description: partial 16S ribosomal RNA
Rfam family: Bacterial small subunit ribosomal RNA
Source: RNAcentral